RNAcentral lists this long non-coding RNA (385 nucleotides) under Triticum aestivum (bread wheat). RNAcentral's name for it is "long non-coding RNA (TAES_LNC025549)". Lineage: Eukaryota; Viridiplantae; Streptophyta; Magnoliopsida; Poales; Poaceae. The record is from RNAcentral.
AGGGAGCACAAGACGUGUCGGCCACCAUGGAUUUUGCAUCGGAGCUCUGUGCCCCUUGCUCUGUUUCGCGCCCCGCCUUGAGCCUCCUCUGCUUCGUCAAGUUCCGCGCCAAGCCUUCUCCUCUCCUUCUCUUUCUUUUCCUCUACUUCUGAACUUCUCUGAAGUUCUCUUCGUUUCUCUAAACAGGAAGCGGCCAUGGUGACCCUCCAUCUCGAACUCCCGUGCCGCCAAGCCAUGGAAAUGGCCAGAUCCGGUCGGAUGUGGUCCAAUCCCGACGCCGGUCCUCAUCCACGCCCCUGCCUCGCUGACACCCAGCUCACCGGAGCCCCGUUGCCGCGCGGCCAGCCUUCUGCGUCGCCAUGGCUUGCUGUUGCCUCUGGUGGUA